GUGAAUCAUCAAAUUUUUGAACGCAAAUUGCACUCUCUUCGGAGAGGAGGCCUGUUUGAGUUUCAGGCUAUAAAAAAUCGACAUCGUGGCUGUUUCGCGGUGGCGGUCGUCGGAAAUUGGUUCAUCAUAUUUCUUUUGGUUUUAAGCGACUUAAAAUUUGCCUUUUGGUUCCAUUAACGUUUCUAAGAUUUAUUUCUUUACACGUUUAAGUUAUCGAUUCUUAUUAGACUUGACCAUCAUAU
Molecule: unclassified non-coding RNA, 242 nt
Filed under: Glomus sp.
Lineage: Eukaryota; Fungi; Glomeromycota; Glomeromycetes; Glomerales; Glomeraceae
Description: partial contains 5.8S ribosomal RNA and internal transcribed spacer 2
Source: RNAcentral